RNAcentral lists this transfer RNA (84 nucleotides) under Ardenticatenaceae bacterium. RNAcentral describes it as "tRNA-Leu". It matches the Rfam family "tRNA". From Rfam's summary of the family: Transfer RNA (tRNA) molecules are approximately 80 nucleotides in length. Lineage: Bacteria; Bacillati; Chloroflexota; Ardenticatenia; Ardenticatenales; Ardenticatenaceae. The record is from RNAcentral.
GGGGCGGUGGCGAAAUGGUAGACGCAGCAGACUUAAAAUCUGCCGGACGUCAGUCCGUGUGGGUUCGAAUCCCACCCGCCCUAC